RNAcentral lists this long non-coding RNA (1588 nucleotides) under Mus musculus (house mouse). RNAcentral describes it as "long non-coding RNA chrX:106932314-106933902". The record is from RNAcentral. Lineage: Eukaryota; Metazoa; Chordata; Mammalia; Rodentia; Muridae.
GGUUAGAUAGCUGUAAUUUUGAAAUCCAUACUCUCUUCUGUACAUUUUGGAGCACAUUGUAGCCAAGGCGCUGCUGAAUUUGUGCUCAGGUCGGGAGCAUAUUGAAAAAGAUGUGUACAUAAAAAAAAAAAAAAAAGAAAAGAAAAAUUAACAAAAAUACCCCAUAAAAUUAGAAAAGAAAAAAAAAAACAAAUAAGAAAAAAAAUAGUUCCUAACACUUGCUUCUUUGUUUUAUUAUUUUUAAAGUUCUAUAAACUUAAAAAUACUAUGCCAUUUUAAUAAACAUUUUAGCAUAAUUCUAUUAGAAAUCUGAUAAAAUUGUGUCCCAGACAGGAUUGAAUUAUAGAAAAAUGCAUAAUUUAUAAAACUCAAAGUGCUACAAUUUAGAGAUGAUGCCUUGUAUCAAAAUGCAGCUAGGCAACUGCUCAACUGUCACCAAGUUUGAGAGGAAAUGAAUAAAAACAUCAUUUUAUAUGAAGAAAAAUAUCUAAUAAAAGUAUAUAACAAAAAAUUAAAUUUAUAAAAGAAUCUUUUUUGUAACUCACUUGAACAACACAAACAAGAAUCUUCAAAAUGUUGUUUUUCUGUUGUAUACAGUAGAUGUACUCUAAAUAUGCAUCAGUCAGUUUAAAUAAUAUGUACAAAAUGUGGCAAUUAAAAAAUGCCCAGAAUUUUCAAGUAAAUGUCCAGGAAUAACACAUCUUGUAUAUUGCUGAACUUGUGCCAGAGAGUGGUUAAAUUAAAAACCACAAAACAAGGAUAAAAUGGUAAAAAAAAAAAAAUCCAAAACAAUGAAUAAAUUCUUGAAAUUCCUUAAUCUGUGUUUCUUUCUAGUGAUAUGUAGGCUUAAAAAUAAUCAUAAAAGUUAAAUUAAAAAUUAGUGCACAUAAUGCAGUGUUAAAAGCUGCUGAAUUUGGGCUUGGGUUAGGAACUAGCUAAAAAAAAACAUUGCUAAAACAAUAGAACAAUAGUAAAAAUGAAUUCAUGAUUUAAAUGCCUAAAAAUAACUAUGCGUUAUAUUGUCUUGCAAAGAAAGGUAAUUGUUGGAAUACAUAAGGCUGUAGGCUCAGUUAGAGAAAAGUAGGUUAAGUUAGAUGAGGUUCAGUUGUUAGGUUAAUACUGUAAGUUCAGACUAGAAAUCCAAGUAUAAAAACUUGCUUGUUUCCUUCAGCAUUUCUUUUUCUUUUUUUUUUUAUAUUGAACUAUAUGUGAUUCUGUACUCUUAGCUGUUAAAAUUAUGAAAUUUUAGUAUUAUGGUAUCACAUCAUUGAAUUGGAUGUUAACUGAAUUCACGUGAAAUACAUUUAAAAAUUAUUUGUGUUUUGCAUAAUUUCCAUGUUUAAUGAUGCUUACUCUUUCAUAUUUUACUUUUAUCUUGGGUUAAUUUUCAUGUUUUAUAUUUAAUAUAACUUGCUAGUAAUAAAAAUGGUGAUGUGAAUAAUAUAGCCAACAAUUCGUAAUGUAUAUCAAAUUGUAAAGUUGAAUUUAUUUUACAUUUAUAAGCACAGGUAAUCCUUAAGCUGUAAUUACAACUUUCAUUUAAAUGUUUAUUAAAUAUAAUAAAACGUAUUUGGAUUAUUAAGGUAUU